UGUCGAGCUACCUCCAAACCCCUGUGACAUACCACUUGUUGCCUCGGCGGAUCAGCCCGCUCCCGGUAAAACGGGACGGCCCGCCAGAGGACCCCUAAACUCUGUUUCUAUAUGUAACUUCUGAGUAAAACCAUAAAUAAAUCAAAACUUUCAACAACGGAUCUCUUGGUUCUGGCAUCGAUGAAGAACGCAGCAAAAUGCGAUAAGUAAUGUGAAUUGCAGAAUUCAGUGAAUCAUCGAAUCUUUGAACGCACAUUGCGCCCGCCAGUAUUCUGGCGGGCAUGCCUGUUCGAGCGUCAUUUCAACCCUCAAGCACAGCUUGGUGUUGGGACUCGCGUUAAUUCGCGUUCCCCAAAUUGAUUGGCGGUCACGUCGAGCUUCCAUAGCGUAGUAGUAAAACCCUCGUUACUGGUAAUCGUCGCGGCCACGCCGUUAAACCCCAACUUCUGAAUGUUGACCUCGGAUCAGGUAGGAAUACCCGCUGAACUUAAGCAUAUCAAAAGCCGGAGGAAAAAAAAAAACACAC
RNAcentral lists this ribosomal RNA (526 nucleotides) under Fusarium oxysporum. RNAcentral describes it as "eukaryotic LSU rRNA". The stretch from base 146 to 299 matches the Rfam family "5.8S ribosomal RNA". Lineage: Eukaryota; Fungi; Ascomycota; Sordariomycetes; Hypocreales; Nectriaceae. The record is from RNAcentral.